CUUAUUAUUGUUGGGGUAGCGAAAGAGGCAAAUAAGUUUUCGUUCAUUUUGUUUCUCAAGGGGCAGAGGAUUUUGUUUUUUUG
Ceratotherium simum simum (southern white rhinoceros) is the source of this 83-nucleotide non-coding RNA. The record is from RefSeq and is a predicted model, not a curated record. NCBI's taxonomy places the organism in Eukaryota, Metazoa, Chordata, Mammalia, Perissodactyla, Rhinocerotidae.